Drosophila bipectinata is the source of this 1082-nucleotide non-coding RNA. NCBI's taxonomy places the organism in Eukaryota, Metazoa, Arthropoda, Insecta, Diptera, Drosophilidae. The record is from RefSeq and is a predicted model, not a curated record.
AACAAUAAUUGAAUAGCACAUGUUGUUUACAAUUUUAGUAAUAAGUUUUCUCAUUGCAAAUCCAUUACCAACCAGGAGACCAGUGCUUGUAUAGGAGCAGUCGCAGGGCAAACAUCAGUUUUUAUUAACACAUGAUUUAUAUACCAUUAAUAAUCCAGGAUGUGUACAGGUAUCAAACGUAGAGCAGAGUUCAAGUUGGAUUAGCCACAGGUGUGGAGAGGUACUCAUACAUUUCAGCAGGCAUAGAAUUAUUGAGAUUGAAGAGUUUACUAGCUUUAUUCCUGUUUAAGUAUUCAGCAGAUGAACCAGAACUGGUUACAUACAUAGGAGCCGUAUAAGUUUGAUUGAGCACAGUUGUGUAGGAUAGGCAGCAGAGAAAACAUCAAUCAAGGUUGGAAGGCAGAUAUAUGAGCAGUAGGUGGUCUCCGAUUUGUUUCUGAUUGAGAAAAUAGUAUGCAUUUGGGAUCCAACUGUAGAGCAGACAUCAGGAUGGAUUAAUAGCAGGUAUGAAAGCGGCAAGGAUGACGCUAAAAACAGGACGUGAUUAGCCAGGGUCAACAAUGUCCGGCAUAGUGGAAUGACUGUUCUCCAAAUCUGGUGACGAUGAACGGGAUACAUGAUAAUUAGUACUCCAAAUAGCCGCUAUGGCAGGAUUAGCUAAUGUGUGAUGAUCAGGCAAGCGUGGCCAAAGGCAGGUUACCGGAGGAACGUAAGACAAAGCAGUAUUUAUGGUAUCAAAGUUUCAAUCUGGAAAGCCUAUCAUCUAGUUGCUGCUCAGGAGUAGGUGGCGGAAUCUCACUCGGAGAAAGUGGAGUCAUGAUAAGACGUUGGAUGUAUUCUGGUUGGUAUUUAAUUUUCUGCGCUGUUUCCCAGCGCGUAGAAACACCGCUGCGGAGUUUACGUGAUAGAGUGUUUACCCAAAACAUCGAGGGGCGCAGCAAAGGAUCGCGUUCAAGUUCUAGGCGUUCUCUCUCUUCACGAGCUUCAGUAGCCAAUCUUUCUUUAAGCCUAUUUUGUAUAUCUGUUUGUUGUAGUUCAAAACGUAUUAAAGUAGGGAAUGGAUAGUCAGGAGUAGCAGGAGA